AGAACAUAGUACUUCAGGAAAGCAAGUGAAAGAUGAGUAAGGAGAAAUUAUCUUACCUAUGUGGUUGGCAGUAGAAACAUUUAACUGAGCCUACAGUUAAAAAGGAAGUGACGAAUAAUAAGAACUCUCCUGUGUUUUUGAAAUAUUGAGUUGAGCUGCUAGCCUGGUACACUGGAUUAAAACCAUUGUUCUUGGGCUUGUGAAAUAUCAAUAAGCAACACUCAAGAAACAAGAUUUAUUCUGACUUGGACAAAAAGUUCAGGGGUUUUCCCAAGAUAAAGUUGAAAAUGACAUUGAUUACAAAGAAAAUGAUAUAAUUGCAUACUUAUGCCACACAGAUAAAAUCAUUAGUUAUUUGAAAAACUUAUGCAACUUAAGCUCUUCCUAGAAAGGCAUCAGAAAAAUAUAUACCUU
Molecule: unclassified non-coding RNA, 414 nt
Filed under: Hevea brasiliensis (rubber tree)
Lineage: Eukaryota; Viridiplantae; Streptophyta; Magnoliopsida; Malpighiales; Euphorbiaceae
Source: RNAcentral